This 497-nucleotide ribosomal RNA is filed under the name uncultured bacterium. RNAcentral's name for it is "partial 16S ribosomal RNA". It matches the Rfam family "Bacterial small subunit ribosomal RNA", at positions 28 to 507 of the family's 1533-position model. The record is from RNAcentral.
GAUGAACGCUGGCGGCGUGCCUAAUACAUGCGAGUCGAGCGAACGGACGAGAAGCUUGCUUCUCUGAUGUUAGCGGCGGACGGGUGAGUAACACGUGGAUAACCUACCUAUAAGACUGGGAUAACUUCGGGAAACCGUAGCUAAUACCGGAUAAUAUUUUGAACCGCAUGGUUCAAAAGUGAAAGACGGUCUUGCUGUCACUUAUAGAUGGAUCCGCGCUGCAUUAGCUAGUUGGUAAGGUAACGGCUUACCAAGGCAACGAUGCAUAGCCGACCUGAGAGGGUGAUCGGCCACACUGGAACUGAGACACGGUCCAGACUCCUACGGGAGGCAGCAGUAGGGAAUCUUCCGCAAUGGGCGAAAGCCUGACGGUGCAACGCCGCGUGAGUGAUGAAGGUCUUCGGAUCGUAAAACUCUGUUAUUAGGGAAGAACAUAUGUGUAAGUAACUGUGCACAUCUUGACGGUACCUAAUCAGAAAGCCACGGCUAACUACGUG